This 161-nucleotide ribosomal RNA is filed under the name uncultured bacterium. RNAcentral describes it as "partial 16S rRNA". It matches the Rfam family "Bacterial small subunit ribosomal RNA", at positions 358 to 511 of the family's 1533-position model. The record is from RNAcentral.
GGAAUCUUCCACAAUGGACGAAAGUCUGAUGAAGCAACGCCGCGUGAGUGAAGAAGGUCUUCGGAUCGUAAAGCUCUGUUGUUGGUGAAGAAGGAUAGAGGCAGUAACUGGUCUUUAUUUGACGGUAAUCAACCAGAAAGUCACGGCUAACUACGUGCCAG